RNAcentral lists this ribosomal RNA (291 nucleotides) under uncultured bacterium. Its description in RNAcentral is "partial 16S ribosomal RNA". It matches the Rfam family "Bacterial small subunit ribosomal RNA", at positions 773 to 1060 of the family's 1533-position model. The record is from RNAcentral.
GUGGAUUAGAUACCCGGGUAGUCCACGCCCUAAACGAUGUCAACUAGUUGUUCGGUGAGGAGACUCAUUGAGUAACGCAGCUAACGCGUGAAGUUGACCGCCUGGGGAGUACGGCCGCAAGGUUAAAACUCAAAGGAAUUGACGGGGACCCGCACAAGCGGUGGAUGAUGUGGAUUAAUUCGAUGCAACGCGAAAAACCUUACCUACCCUUGACAUGCCAGGAACUUGCCAGAGAUGGCUUGGUGCUCGAAAGAGAGCCUGGACACAGGUGCUGCACGGCCGUCGACAACU